UUCCAAGCACUACUUCAGCAGACGUACAUUGAUUCCUUUGUCGACACGCCAAGUAAAUCCAAACGAAUCUUCUAUUGAAUAGAAGAAAAAUCAUACCUUUAUUAUC
This is a long non-coding RNA of Brassica rapa (field mustard), 106 nucleotides long. RefSeq lists it as uncharacterized. Lineage: Eukaryota; Viridiplantae; Streptophyta; Magnoliopsida; Brassicales; Brassicaceae. The record is from RefSeq and is a predicted model, not a curated record.